GUGCUCUCUUCAGCAGCACAAAUACUAAAAUUGGAAUGAAACAGAGAAGAUUAUCAUGGUCCUUUCACAGGAUGACAUACAAAUUCAUGAAGUAUUCCUGAUUCAU
Molecule: small nuclear RNA, 106 nt
Organism: Cebus imitator (Panamanian white-faced capuchin)
Lineage: Eukaryota; Metazoa; Chordata; Mammalia; Primates; Cebidae
Source: Ensembl